CAACUACUCCCUCCGUCCGAAAAAACCUGUCCCUCAAAUGGAUGUAUGGAUGUAUCUAGCAUCAAGUUAGUGCUAGAUACAUCCAUUUGAGGGACAAGCUUGGGACAAGUUUUUUCGGACGGAGGGAGUAAAAU
Triticum urartu is the source of this 134-nucleotide non-coding RNA. NCBI's taxonomy places the organism in Eukaryota, Viridiplantae, Streptophyta, Magnoliopsida, Poales, Poaceae. The record is from Rfam.